CUACCCUUGACAUGCCAGGAAGUUGGCCGAGGGGUCGAUGUGCCCGAAAGGGAACCUGGACACAGGUGCUGCAUGGCUGUCGUCAGCUCGUGUCGUGAGAUGUUGAGUUAAGUCCCGCAACGAGCGCAACCCUUGUCAUUAGUUGCUACAUUCAGUUGGGCACUCUAAUGAGACUGCCGGUGACAAACCGGAGGAAGGUGGGGAUGACGUCAAGUCCUCAUGGCCCUUAUGGGUAGGGCCUCACACGUCAUACAAUGGCGCAUACAGAGGGUUGCCAACCCGCGAGGGGGAGCCAAUCCCAGAAAGUGCGUCGUAGUCCGGAUCGGAGUCUCAACUCGACUCCGUGAAGUCGGAAUCGCUAGUAAUCGCGGAUCAGCAUGUCGCGGUGAAUACGUUCC
Molecule: ribosomal RNA, 398 nt
Filed under: uncultured bacterium
Lineage: Bacteria
Description: bacterial SSU rRNA
Rfam family: Bacterial small subunit ribosomal RNA
Source: RNAcentral